RNAcentral lists this small nuclear RNA (112 nucleotides) under Otolemur garnettii (small-eared galago). Lineage: Eukaryota; Metazoa; Chordata; Mammalia; Primates; Galagidae. The record is from RNAcentral.
GUGUUCACUUUGGUAGCAUACCUCCUGAAACUGGAAUAAUACGGACAAUACAAUAUGAGCAUAACUCCUGCCAGAGGAUGACAGACACAUUUGUGAAGAUUUUAAUACAUUU